AACUUGGAAGAUAUCUCUAACUCAAGUCUUUGAUUGUCAUGUGUUAAAGAGUGCAACUUUUGAAAAGGUUUGAUGGCAAUUCCUUGGAAAGAAAAGAUAGAAUUAGAACAUUCAAUAACAAAUGGUAAGUGAAAAGAUAGAAAACCUCCCCUUAAAAAUUUGUUUUCUAUUGUGAGAAUAGGGGAUGUUGCUCUCCAUUGUUCUUUCUUCUUUUCUUCCAUGUCUUUCUUUUCAAGUUCUUCCUUCUCUUCCUCUUCCUUUCUUUCUUUCUCUCUUAUUUUCUCUUCUUCUCUUCUCUCUUGUAUUAUUCUCUCUCUUUCUUCCUCUUCUUUUUUCUCUCUUUCUUCUUCUUCUCUUCUCACUAGUU
This 367-nucleotide long non-coding RNA is filed under the name Vigna radiata. RNAcentral's name for it is "long non-coding RNA (VRAD_LNC008253)". The record is from RNAcentral. Lineage: Eukaryota; Viridiplantae; Streptophyta; Magnoliopsida; Fabales; Fabaceae.